UACAGAGACUGCAAGCGUUAUUCGGAUUCGCUGGGCGUAAAGGGUGCGCAGGCGGCCGUGUGUGUGAGGCGUGAAAGCCCGGGGCUCAACCCCGGAAUUGCACCUCAAACUACAUGGCUAGAGCAUUGGAGAGGGUAGCGGAAUUCACGGUGUAGCAGUGAAAUGCGUAGAUAUCGUGAGGAACACCAGAGGCGAAGGCGGCUACCUGGACAAUUGCUGACGCUCAGGCACGAAAGCGUGGGGAGCAAAAGGG
Molecule: ribosomal RNA, 253 nt
Filed under: uncultured bacterium
Lineage: Bacteria
Description: partial 16S ribosomal RNA
Rfam family: Bacterial small subunit ribosomal RNA
Source: RNAcentral